RNAcentral lists this small RNA (999 nucleotides) under Malus domestica (apple). Lineage: Eukaryota; Viridiplantae; Streptophyta; Magnoliopsida; Rosales; Rosaceae. The record is from RNAcentral.
GGAUGUUAUUAUAUCAACUCACAUGCAGCAGUCCCAUCAGAAGUCUAGAGUUAAGUUUGGGCAAUAGUAGUACUAGGAUGAGUAACUUUUUGGAAAGUCCUUGUGUUGUAUCCCCUCACCUUCUUUUUAUUUUUCAUAAUUCUUUUAGCGUAUUUUUAGUGGCUUCCCUGUGACGCGCGUCAUUUUUAACUGAGCUCCGUGCUUGGGAGUUGAAAGAGAAAAAUGAAAAGGACUAUUUAUUUUAUUUUUAGAUUUCUUUUAAUCUUUUUAGCUCGGUGUGGAUGCCAUUGCGAUCUGACGACGGAUGAUCAAUUGAAUAAUAAUAUUUAAAGGUUUUCGCGUGAACAAACACUGGGGUGAUUUGCACGUGCAUAAGGUUAUGGGGUCAUGAAGCACGGUCAAGGAAAUGGUUAUAUAUAAUUACGAGUCAUAAAUUAAUGGAAGCUAUCAUACCAACUCACAUAGACCAAUCCUACCAGAAGUCUAAAGUUAAGCGAGUUUGGGCGAGAGUAGUACAAGGAUUGGUGACCUUCUGAGAAGUCCUCGUGUUGUAUUCCCUCUUCUCUAUUUUAUUUUUCAUAAUUUUUUUGCGUAUAUUUAGCGACUUACUUGUGACGCGGGUCGUUUUCGACUAAACUCCAUGCUUGGGAGUUGAAAGAGAAAAAUGAAAAGGACUAUUUAUUUUAUUUUUGGAUUUCAUUUAAUCGAUUUAGCUUGGUGUGGGUGCCAUUGCAAUCUAACGACGGACGAUUAAUUGAAUAAUAAUAUCUAAAGGUUCUCAUGUGAAGAAAGACCGGGGCGAUUUGCACGUGCAUAAGGAUAUGGGGUCGUGGGGCAUGGUCAAAUAAAUGGUUAUAUAUAAUUACGAGUCAUAAAUUAAUGGAUGCUACCAAACCAAUUCACAUGUAUCAGUCUCAUCAGAAGUCUGAAGUUAAGCGUGUUUAGACAAGAGUAGUAUUAGGAUGGGUAACCAUCUGAGGAGUCCUAGUGGUGCCACCG